CUUGACGACCAUAGAGCGUUGGAACCACCUGAUCCCAUCCCGAACUCAGCAGUGAAACGAUGCAUCGCCGAUGGUAGUGUGGGGUUUCCCCAUGUGAGAGUAGGUCAUCGUCAAGC
RNAcentral lists this ribosomal RNA (116 nucleotides) under Pseudomonas sp. RNAcentral also lists the same sequence under 1 other name. Lineage: Bacteria; Pseudomonadati; Pseudomonadota; Gammaproteobacteria; Pseudomonadales; Pseudomonadaceae. The record is from RNAcentral.